AGUGAACGCUGGCGGUAGGCCUAACACAUGCAAGUCGAACGGCAGCACAGUAAGAGCUUGCUCUUACGGGUGGCGAGUGGCGGACGGGUGAGGAAUACAUCGGAAUCUACUUUUUCGUGGGGGAUAACGUAGGGAAACUUACGCUAAUACCGCAUACGACCUACGGGUGAAAGCAGGGGAUCUUCGGACCUUGCGCGAUUGAAUGAGCCGAUGUCGGAUUAGCUAGUCGGCGGGGUAAAGGCCCACCAAGGCGACGAUCCGUAGCUGGUCUGAGAGGAUGAUCAGCCACACUGGAACUGAGACGCGGUCCAGACUCCUACGGGAGGCAGCAGUGGGGAAUAUUGGACAAUGGGCGCAAGCCUGAUCCAGCCAUACCGCGUGGGUGAAGAAGGCCUUCGGGUUGUAAAGCCCUUUUGUUGGGAAAGAAAAGCAGCAGGUUAAUACCCCGCUGUUCUGACGGUACCCAAAGAAUAAGCACCGGCUAACUUCGUG
RNAcentral lists this ribosomal RNA (492 nucleotides) under uncultured bacterium. RNAcentral's name for it is "partial 16S ribosomal RNA". It matches the Rfam family "Bacterial small subunit ribosomal RNA", at positions 29 to 507 of the family's 1533-position model. The record is from RNAcentral.